RNAcentral lists this long non-coding RNA (208 nucleotides) under Elaeis guineensis (African oil palm). RNAcentral describes it as "long non-coding RNA (EGUI_LNC047553)". Lineage: Eukaryota; Viridiplantae; Streptophyta; Magnoliopsida; Arecales; Arecaceae. The record is from RNAcentral.
GUGCAGAACAGAAAGUGACUGUUCUAUAGCUUUGGCUGCACAGACAAUAGAGGUCGACCCCUGGGAUCGUCUCCUUUGGGUGUGCAAGACAAAAAUAGCUUGCCAUUCAGCCCCUUUUGACGGGGGUCGACCUAGGGGGUCAACCUUUUUCUUUAAACUUGAUUUUCUCUCAAAAUAUACAUCCAAAAAAUAUGAAAUUACCUCCAAU